This 456-nucleotide ribosomal RNA is filed under the name uncultured bacterium. RNAcentral's name for it is "partial 16S ribosomal RNA". It matches the Rfam family "Bacterial small subunit ribosomal RNA", at positions 342 to 795 of the family's 1533-position model. The record is from RNAcentral.
CGGGUGGCUGCAGUGAGGAAUAUUGGUCAAUGGGCGCGAGCCCGAACCAGCCAAGUAGCGUGAAGGAUGACUGCCCUACGGGUUGUAAACUUCUUUUAUAAAGGAAUAAAGUGAGGCACGUGUGCCUUUUUGUAUGUACUUUAUGAAUAAGGAUCGGCUAACUCCGUGCCAGCAGCCGCGGUAAUACGGAGGAUCCGAGCGUUAUCCGGAUUUAUUGGGUUUAAAGGGAGCGUAGAUGGGUUGUUAAGUCAGUUGUGAAAGUUUGCGGCUCAACCGUAAAAUUGCAAUUGAUACUGGCAGUCUUGAGUACAGUUGAGGUAGGCGGAAUUCGUGGUGUAGCGGUGAAAUGCUUAGAUAUCACGAAGAACUCCGAUUGCGAAGGCAGCUUACUAAACUGCCACUGACAUUGAUGCUCGAAAGUGUGGGGAUCAAACAGGAUUAGAUACCCCGGUAGUC